Molecule: ribosomal RNA, 495 nt
Filed under: uncultured bacterium
Lineage: Bacteria
Description: partial 16S ribosomal RNA
Rfam family: Bacterial small subunit ribosomal RNA
Source: RNAcentral
GACGAACGCUGGCGGCGUGCCUAAUACAUGCAAGUAGAACGCUGAAGGAGGAGCUUGCUUCUCUGGAUGAGUUGCGAACGGGUGAGUAACGCGUAGGUAACCUGCCUGGUAGCGGGGGAUAACUAUUGGAAACGAUAGCUAAUACCGCAUAAUAUUGACUAUUGCAUGAUAGUCAGUUGAAAGGUGCAACUGCACCACUACCAGAUGGACCUGCGUUGUAUUAGCUAGUUGGUGGGGUAACGGCUCAUCAAGGCGACGAUACAUAGCCGACCUGAGAGGGUGAUCGGCCACACUGGGACUGAGACACGGCCCAGACUCCUACGGGAGGCAGCAGUAGGGAAUCUUCGGCAAUGGACGGAAGUCUGACCGAGCAACGCCGCGUGAGUGAAGAAGGGUUUCGGAUCGUAAAGCUCUGUUGUAAGAGAAGAACGAGUGUGAGAGUGGAAAGCUCACACUGUGACGGUAGCUUACCAGAAAGGGACGGCUAACUACGUG